AAUGAACGCUGGCGGCAGGCCUAACACAUGCAAGUCGAACGGAUCCUUCGGGAUUAGUGGCGGACGGGCGAGUAACGCGUGGGAACAUACCCAAAGGUACGGAAUAGCCUCGGGAAACUGGGAGUAAUACCGUAUGUGCUCGAAAGAGGAAAGAUUUAUCGCCUUUGGAUUGGCCCGCGUUGGAUUAGGUAGUUGGUGGGGUAAUGGCCUACCAAGCCGACGAUCCAUAGCUGGUUUGAGAGGAUGAUCAGCCACACUGGGACUGAGACACGGCCCAGACUCCUACGGGAGGCAGCAGUGGGGAAUCUUGGACAAUGGGGGAAACCCUGAUCUAGCCAUGCCGCGUGAUCGAUGAAGGCCUUAGGGUUGUAAAGAUCUUUCAGGUGGGAAGAUAAUGACUGUACCACCAGAAGAAGCCCCGGCUAACUCCGUGCCAGCCGCCGCAGUAA
Molecule: ribosomal RNA, 449 nt
Filed under: uncultured bacterium
Lineage: Bacteria
Description: partial 16S ribosomal RNA
Rfam family: Bacterial small subunit ribosomal RNA
Source: RNAcentral